UACGAAGGGGGGCUAGCGUUGCUCGGAAUGACUGGGCGUAAAGGGUGCGUAGGCGGUUCUUUAAGUCUGGGGUGAAAGCCCGUUGCUCAACAACGGAACUGCCCUGGAAACUGGAGGACUUGAGUACAGACGAGGGUGGCGGAAUGGAUGGUGUAGCGGUGAAAUGCAUAGAUACCAUCCAGAACCCCCGAUUGCGAAGC
This 200-nucleotide ribosomal RNA is filed under the name uncultured bacterium. RNAcentral's name for it is "partial 16S ribosomal RNA". It matches the Rfam family "Bacterial small subunit ribosomal RNA", at positions 524 to 722 of the family's 1533-position model. The record is from RNAcentral.